This 183-nucleotide ribosomal RNA is filed under the name uncultured bacterium. Its description in RNAcentral is "partial 16S ribosomal RNA". It matches the Rfam family "Bacterial small subunit ribosomal RNA", at positions 320 to 497 of the family's 1533-position model. The record is from RNAcentral.
UCAGGGCACCCGGGGACUCUACGGUAGGCAGCAGUGGGGAAUAUUGCACAAUGGGCGCAAGCCUGAUGCAGCCAUGCCGCGUGUGUGAAGAAGGCUUCGGGUUGUAAAGCACUUUCAGCGAGGAGGAAGGGUUCGGUGUUAAUAGCACCGUUCAUUGACGUUACUCGCAGAAGAAGCACCGCG